AUUGCUAGAGGCAUUGCAGGUGUGGCUACUGUGUCAGUGUGUGUGUCAGUAGGUGACAGAGAGGAGAGGCUACUUCUCUGCUCAGCGUUCUGACCUAUGAACAUCUGAACGAUCUAUAGCCUAACAUU
Molecule: small nucleolar RNA, 128 nt
Organism: Mus pahari (shrew mouse)
Lineage: Eukaryota; Metazoa; Chordata; Mammalia; Rodentia; Muridae
Product: small nucleolar RNA SNORA17
Exons: 1
Source: RefSeq, a predicted model, not a curated record